GUCGUUGUAAUAUAGUGGUAAGUAUUCCCGCCUGUCAAAGGGUAACCCGGGUUCGAUUCCCGCAACGGCA
This 70-nucleotide transfer RNA is filed under the name Brassica carinata (Ethiopian mustard). It matches the Rfam family "tRNA". From Rfam's summary of the family: Transfer RNA (tRNA) molecules are approximately 80 nucleotides in length. Their secondary structure includes four short double-helical elements and three loops (D, anti-codon, and T loops). The record is from Rfam by way of RNAcentral. RNAcentral also lists the same sequence under 1 other name. Lineage: Eukaryota; Viridiplantae; Streptophyta; Magnoliopsida; Brassicales; Brassicaceae.